UUCCUUACAUCAGAGUGGGGUUUCUGUUUAUAUUUUAGUUUAAUUUAUAAGCCAUCUCUCCGCCUACUCUCCUCCCCUUCUCCUGCUCUAUUUUGGAUAAAGUGGCUGGGAGAGCAGUCAGGUCUGAUUAAGUCGGCGUUUGGGUACAGUGUGUUCCUGGACACACAUCUGCGAGCGAGCCAUCACACACGCUUCGGAGCACUGGCAGAACACCCAGGCCUGCCGGCAGCUGAUGAUGUCAUCACUCAGAGGGACAGAGCUGGCGAGGAGCCAGACAGACUCUCCGAAAACACACACACACACAGAUUCACAGAGAGAAGACAAAAGAGAAGACAGAGACACUGAAGAUCUGACACAUGAAGAGACAGUCUCAAACAGGAGACAGAUAGGAGACAGACAAUAAGAGGAAUACUCUUUCCUAUGGAUCCUUUAAGACAUAUAUACGUGUGACAUAAUGAAGAGCUUCCUGUGGGGACAGAGACAAAAGGACUGUGAUGAGCCAAUGACUGAGGUCUCAAAAAUAGCAGACAUUGUGCUCAAAAAUGUUUUUGUGCAUUUUCUGAAGGGUUUUCAAAAGGCAGCAACAUCAUUGUCCUUGUACAGAACAGCAUGUUUAAUUCCAACCUGAAAGUAUCCCUCUCUGUGUACUGCUGCAUCAUUAGAGUAAAGAGGUCUCUAAGAGUCAAAUGUCAAUGUGACUAAAGUGGAUGAUGCUCAGUGACCUGUCUCUUGACAUGGACCAGCUUCAUUACAACACCCGCAGUCACCAGAAGGACUGACUCCUCCAACCUUCAAACCUCUGCCUAUCUCCAUGACUGAGCAUUGGCUAGCUAAUACCCUGCUGGAUGUUCUAUCAUCAGACUCUUUCAAACACUGGAGUGGCACAGGCCUGAAAUGUCAACCAUCUGCGUGGGAGGAGAAAGGGGAAAAGUUGGUGCUCUGACACUGAUGAUGGCUUGGUUGAUUGAUUUAGCAAUGAACCUGAGCCCUAGGACCAUACGUCAGGACUACCGGGCAUGACGACUCCCUGCUGUCCCCAGUCCGCCUGGCCUUGCUGCUAUUCCAGUUUCAACUGUUCUGCCUGCGGUUACGGAACCCCUACCUGUCCCAGACCUGCUGUUUUCAACUCUUAAUGAUCGGCUAUGAAAAGCCAACAAAUUUAUUCCUGAUUAUUAUUUGACCAUGCUUGUCAUUUAUGAACAUUUUGAAAAUCUUGUCUCUCUCUAAUUUUCUCCUUCUCUCUUUCUUUCUCUCGGAGGACCUGAGCCCUGGGACCAUACGUCGGGACUGCCGGGCGUGGUGGCUCCUUGCUGUCCCCAGUCCGCCUGGCCUUGCUGCUGUUCCGGUUUCAGCUGUUCUGCCUGCGGUUAUGGAACCCCACCUGUCCCAGACCUGUUGUUUUUCAACUCUUAAUGAUCGGCUAUGAAAGCCAACUGAAAAUUAUCCAUGAUUAUUAUUUGACCAUGCUUGUCACUUAUGAACAUUUUUGAACAUCUUGGCAUAGUUCUGUUAUAAUCUCCACCCGGCACAGCCAUAAGAGGACUGGCCACCCCUCAUAGCCUGGUUCCUCUCUAGGUUUCUUCCUAGGUUUUGGCCUUUCUAGGGAGUUUUUCCUAGCCACCGUGCUUCUACACCUGCAUUCUAGCUGUUUGGGGUUUUAGGCUGGGUCUCUGUACAGCACUUCGAGAUAUUAGCUGAUG
Salvelinus fontinalis (brook trout) is the source of this 1700-nucleotide long non-coding RNA. RefSeq lists it as uncharacterized. The transcript is spliced from 4 exons. Lineage: Eukaryota; Metazoa; Chordata; Actinopteri; Salmoniformes; Salmonidae. The record is from RefSeq and is a predicted model, not a curated record.